AGAGUUUGAUUCUGGCUCAGAACGAACGCUGGCGGCGUGGAUAAGACAUGCAAGUCGAACGAGAGAAUUGCUAGCUUGCUAAUAAUUCUCUAGUGGCGCACGGGUGAGUAACACGUGAGUAACCUGCCCCCGAGAGCGGGAUAGCCCUGGGAAACUGGGAUUAAUACCGCAUAGUAUCGAAAGAUUAAAGCAGCAAUGCGCUUGGGGAUGGGCUCGCGGCCUAUUAGUUAGUUGGUGAGGUAACGGCUCACCAAGGCGAUGACGGGUAGCCGGUCUGAGAGGAUGUCCGGCCACACUGGAACUGAGACACGGUCCAGACACCUACGGGUGGCAGCAGUCGAGAAUCAUUCACAAUGGGGGAAACCCUGAUGGUGUGACGCCGCGUGGGGGAAUGAAGGUCUUCGGAUUGUAAACCCCUGUCAUGUGGGAGCAAAUUAAAAAGAUAGUACCACAAGAGGAAGAGACGGCUAACUCUGUGCCAGCAGCCGCGGUAAUACAGAGGUCUCAAGCGUUGUUCGGAAUCACUGGGCGUAAAGCGUGCGUAGGCUGUUUCGUAAGUCGUGUGUGAAAGGCGCGGGCUCAACCCGCGGACGGCACAUGAUACUGCGAGACUAGAGUAAUGGAGGGGGAACCGGAAUUCUCGGUGUAGCAGUGAAAUGCGUAGAUAUCGAGAGGAACACUCGUGGCGAAGGCGGGUUCCUGGACAUUAACUGACGCUGAGGCACGAAGGCCAGGGGAGCGAAAGGGAUUAGAUACCCCUGUAGUCCUGGCAGUAAACGGUGCACGCUUGGUGUGCGGGGAAUCGACCCCCUGCGUGCCGGAGCUAACGCGUUAAGCGUGCCGCCUGGGGAGUACGGUCGCAAGAUUAAAACUCAAAGAAAUUGACGGGGACCCGCACAAGCGGUGGAGUAUGUGGCUUAAUUCGAUGCAACGCGAAGAACCUUACCUGGGCUUGACAUGUAAUGAACAACAUGUGAAAGCAUGCGACUCUUCGGAGGCGUUACACAGGUGCUGCAUGGCCGUCGUCAGCUCGUGUCGUGAGAUGUUUGGUUAAGUCCAGCGACGAGCGCAACCCCUGUUGCCAGUUACCAGCACGUGAAGGUGGGGACUCUGGCGAGACUGCCCAGAUCAACUGGGAGGAAGGUGGGGACGACGUCAGGUCAGUAUGGCCUUAUGCCCAGGGCUGCACACGUACUACAAUGCCCAGUACAGAGGGGGCCGAAGCCGCGAGGCGGAGGAAAUCCUGAAAACUGGGCCCAGUUCGGACUGUAGGCUGCAACCCGCCUACACGAAGCCGGAAUCGCUAGUAAUGGCGCAUCAGCUACGGCGCCGUGAAUAAGUUCCCGGGUCUUGUACACACCGCCCGUCA
Molecule: ribosomal RNA, 1369 nt
Filed under: uncultured bacterium
Lineage: Bacteria
Description: bacterial SSU rRNA
Rfam family: Bacterial small subunit ribosomal RNA
Source: RNAcentral